RNAcentral lists this ribosomal RNA (149 nucleotides) under uncultured bacterium. Its description in RNAcentral is "partial 16S ribosomal RNA". It matches the Rfam family "Bacterial small subunit ribosomal RNA", at positions 383 to 524 of the family's 1533-position model. The record is from RNAcentral.
CUGAUCCAGCCAUGCCGCGUGUGUGAAGAAGGCCUUAGGGUUGUAAAGCACUUUCAGGGGUGAGGAAGGGUAAUGGAWUAAUACUUCAUUAUCUUGACGUUAGCCCCAGAAGAAGCACCGGCUAACUCUGUGCCAGCAGCCGCGGUAAU